UCUGCAGCCCAUGGGCACCACUCAGUGCAGCAGUGGCUGAGGCCUGAAGGAGCCACAGCCCAUAGAGAGCCCCAGGCCGGAGCUUGGAAUGCUGCACCUGUGGGAAGAUCACAGGGCCUGUUCGGUAAGAAUGGCGUCCCACGCUGGAGAUGGGUUAAAAGAGGGAGGAACCAGGAGCUAGAAUAGUGAAUUCGAGCCUGGAAAGAAGGGGUGACUGGGAAGAAGAUGUCUUCGGCACAAUAUAGUGGCCUGGUUCUGUAGCUGGAAUGUGGUGCUGAGCCUGUGUGACAACUCUCAGGAAUUCUCGAGCAGCUUCACUAUUGAUAACAAAUACAUACACCUGCUCAAAUAAAUAGCAUUGUCCCCAACUUUCUCCCAUGAGGAGCCGUGCAGAAAGGAAAAAACAGCUUUGUUCCAUACCAUUCCUGUUUGUGAAGGCACAGGAGGCUCUGCUUGCUGCUUACUUCAAUAAUGUUUUAUGUGCAUUACACUAAUAACUAAUGCGAGCAUAUUGGCCAUCUUCAUCUUCAUAGAUAAUAAUACUAACUUGAUAUUUGGGGAGUUCAUCAAGUGUUUUAACAUAACAGUCACAUGCAGGAAAGCCCAAACAUUUAAUCUCUUUUUAAUUUUCUUCAAUCUAUUGUCAUGAAUUAAAAGGCUAGAGUUUUCUCACCUUCAUCAUUACAUAAAAAUAUAAACUAGCUAGUAAAGUAAAGAAGGAAGGCGCUCAUAGAUAAUAACAAUUUCAGGGUUCUUUUUAAGAUACAUCUGAGGUGGUAUGUUAAUCCAGUUGUAUUUAACUUGAUAAAUCUGAUUUCAGAUUAGUAUUGUCAAUACUUCCAGAAGGGAAAAAAUCAGAAAAAAGCUUCUUAGCCUGCAGUUUCUCACAUUCAUCCUUGGGUCAAAGAAAAUGCUAAUUACUCUUUAUUUUUUCAGAUCGAACAUUGACUUACUUGUUUACAUUUAAUUCUGAGCCACACAAAUAUACUAUUUCUUCAGUUUCAAAAUGCAUUGUGUUUGGAGAAUUCUUGCUUGUCCCCAUGUAAUUCUGCCAUCAUUCUAAUAAUUGUGAAUUUAGACGGACCUCUCUACCUGGCAUAGUGGCCCAUGGAAUUUGUACGGUCUAUAAACGGUAACUGCCAUUCACUCAUGCAUGUUGGCAAUAUCCUUGUGUGCCCACUACUGCUUUUAAUAUAACUCAUUUGAUAUGCCUUUAUUAUGACUCAAGUACUUACUCUAUGACUCAUUGUCUCAAGACAGAUAAUCAGCUUUAAUGUAGGAAAAAAGCAUUGCUUGGCUUAUUGCUUAAAAACUGCUAGACUUAAAAAGGGUAAAUACGCAAAAUAAAUAAAUUGUGCUUUGUUUACUUGUAUUUAUCCAAAGUGUUGAAAUUUAAAAGUUGGCAGUUUGCCUAAGUUUUGAAGUCCAAUAAACAUGCAUUCUCAACUAAGCUAAUACACAUCAUUUACCUUGUUUAGAUGUUCAAAGCUUGCUUCAAGUAAAACAAAAUGCAUGGGAUGCUGAUGGAUGUAGAGAGUUUUCUUUUGAUCUACAUCACAUGAAUUGUAACAUACGGGUGAUUAAACAAGGGUAUGAGUUUUGUUCCUUUUCAAUGCUGCACCACUCUGAAGAUUACCAAAGUAUUCUCUGUUUUAGUAUAUGGUCACAAUCUGACAACCAGUAAAUUACUUGAGCUCUGUUGGCUUCAUGUCUUUUAUUCAGA
Molecule: long non-coding RNA, 1723 nt
Organism: Numida meleagris (helmeted guineafowl)
Lineage: Eukaryota; Metazoa; Chordata; Aves; Galliformes; Numididae
Exons: 3
Source: RefSeq, a predicted model, not a curated record